This 1663-nucleotide long non-coding RNA is filed under the name Salmo salar (Atlantic salmon). RNAcentral's name for it is "lncRNA (ENSSSAG00000089331.1)". Lineage: Eukaryota; Metazoa; Chordata; Actinopteri; Salmoniformes; Salmonidae. The record is from RNAcentral.
CUUCUCUGUGCCUGUUCUUCCAUCACUUAUUUAUUUUCUAAGAUUUUAGACGUCUUUGAUAUUUCAGGGUCUUCCAUUUUUCAAUGACACAAGAGUUUAACCGAGUAAGUGUUUUUAUGUCGUUGUUGUUUUGGGUUUAUUUUAUGUCUCGCUGUGUUUUUGCCAUUUCUACUCUAGCAACUCUUCAGGUCUUGUCAGUAUUAUUAGGCAGGCUACCAUAGACUCGUUGCACAUGAAAAUAACAUAAAGUAAAUUACACAGUACGAUGGCAAGAUAAAUACAAACUCUAUAGUGCAUAUUUUCACAUUAUCUCGCCAGAUUGCACUAAGAUAUUAAAAUAAAGAUAUUGUCUAAGUUCAGUGCCAAAGCCUGUAAUAAUUCCUUAUCUACCUGAAAUUGAUGACACACAUAUUUGAUCUGUAUGUCAAGACAAAAAAUGACCAGUGAGCUGUAGCAUUUCUGUCAGAUACCCUUUCUGCGUUAUGUGCUACUGAUUUUUGUUGAAACCUACCACAUUAUUUGGAUUUUUUUUGCUACCGAUCAUUGCUCAUUGGGAUGAUUUUCAUUUUUAGUUGAAUAUAACACCCUAUAUCCCAUAGUGCACUACUCUUGACCUGAGCUAACCCAGAGCUAACUAACCCAAUGUGGCUCUGGUCAAAAGUAGAGCGCUAUAUGGGAAAUAAGGUAUCAUUUGAUACCUGUGAUGAGCUUCUGUCUACUAGACUGCUUCGUAUGUCAAUGUAUCUUCAACUGAUAAAUAUAUUAUAUGAUUUAUUCCCAUUGUUUGUUACGUUAUCCUUUGAGGAAUACAGCCUUCCUUGGACGAUAACAGUCACUAGAUAACUCUUCCUCCAAUCACAAUCCUUCAGGUGCCACAAUGUUGGAGGAGGAAGACGUGUUCUCAAAAUAUUGAAUAUGAAUUAUUAUUAAUGAACUGUCAAAAUUAGCCUGGCAAAUAAUGAUAUAUUGAUGAGUCAAAAAAAAAUGUUUAUUUGUUUCAUUGUGUUUUUUGUUGAUAUUUUGUUUGGUUUAUGUCUGUUCAACUGCCAUUUUUCAGUUUAUUGUUUGGAGGGGUUUUCUGAGGAGGAGGAGAAGAAAGAGCAAUGGAUCGUCAGUUUCAAGUUAUUUGUAGUACACUUCACCUGGUAAUCAUGGAAACUGCAUGGUACCUUAUGGCACUUAUGGCACAAAUUCCAAAAGAAUCGGCUACUAUUUGGUUUCAAAGGAUCCGUAGUUGUGCUAAUCGCUGAAAUGACUGCCACUGUUAUUGGUAACAAAGAAACAAAAUACCAAAAAGUCACCAUGUAGUUUCUAUGUAAAUACCAGGUAGGUGGUGUUCUGUAAAAACAUGCUACCGAUCGUUUCUGUGUCCUGUUUUUGAACCAUGUAGUCUUGAUGGCAUGACCUUACAUCUGAUCUGUUAAUAUGGAGACCGACUUCCGUAGGUGCGUUCUGUAUUUCCUUGACGUGUAUUCAUAUUGCCAAAGACAAACUACUUCAUCAAUUCAUGUAAAUAUCACCUUGUCCAUUACUAUGACGAAAGUAUGUUUGUUUAAAAAAAAAAUGGUUUUGUUUUUCCGAAGAAAACAAAAAGCUAACAUAAAGUUUCUGUGUUGUAUUGUCUUCCAGUUGCAAUAAAAGAAAACCGCAUUGCAAAAAGUUA